AACGAACGCUGGCGGCAUGCCUAACACAUGCAAGUCGAACGAACCUUUCGGGGUUAGUGGCGGACGGGUGAGUAACACGUGGGAACGUGCCUUUAGGUUCGGAAUAACUCAGGGAAACUUGUGCUAAUACCGAAUGUGCCCUUCGGGGGAAAGAUUUAUCGCCUUUGGAGCGGCCCGCGUCUGAUUAGCUAGUUGGUUGAGGUAAUGGCUCACCAAGGCGACGAUCAGUAGCUGGUCUGAGAGGAUGAUCAGCCACAUUGGGACUGAGACACGGCCCAAACUCCUACGGGAGGCAGCAGUGGGGAAUCUUGCGCAAUGGGCGAAAGCCUGACGCAGCCAUGCCGCGUGAAUGAUGAAGGUCUUAGGAUUGUAAAAUUCUUUUACCGGGGACGAUAAUGACGGUACCCGGAGAAGAAGCCCCGGCUAACUUCGUG
This 434-nucleotide ribosomal RNA is filed under the name uncultured bacterium. RNAcentral describes it as "partial 16S ribosomal RNA". It matches the Rfam family "Bacterial small subunit ribosomal RNA", at positions 29 to 507 of the family's 1533-position model. The record is from RNAcentral.